RNAcentral lists this ribosomal RNA (355 nucleotides) under Entoloma sp. 174-538. RNAcentral's name for it is "eukaryotic LSU rRNA". The stretch from base 1 to 105 matches the Rfam family "5.8S ribosomal RNA", at positions 50 to 154 of the family's 154-position model. The record is from RNAcentral. Lineage: Eukaryota; Fungi; Basidiomycota; Agaricomycetes; Agaricales; Entolomataceae.
GAAAUGCGAUAAGUAAUGUGAAUUGCAGAAUUCAGUGAAUCAUCGAAUCUUUGAACGCACCUUGCGCUCCUUGGUAUUCCGAGGAGCAUGCCUGUUUGAGUGUCAUGAAUUUCUCAAAUCUUACUAGUGUUAUUCUAGUUAGAUUUGGAUUAAUGGAAGUUGUGCUGGAUUGGCUAUAUAUAAAUAAUCAGUCAGCUCUUCUUAAAUGCAUUAGCAAUAAACAUUGCUAGUCAUUAUUAGUAUGAUAAAUUAUAUUUAUACUAUUAGUGUCUGUAAUAAUUGCUUCUAAUCGUCAUUAUUGACAAUAUUUGACAAUUUUGACCUCAAAUCAGGUAGGAUUACCCGCUGAACUUAA